UCUUCCGCAAUGGACGAAAGUCUGACGGAGCAACGCCGCGUGAGUGAAGAAGGCCUUCGGGUCGUAAAACUCUGUUGCCGGGGAAGCACAAGUGCCGUUCGAACAGGGCGGCGCCUUGACGGUACCCGGCCAGAAAGCCACGGCUAACUACGUGCCCGCAGCCGCGGUAAUCCGUAGGUAGCCAGCGUUGUCCGGAAUUAUUGGGCGUAAAGCGCGCGCAGGCGGCUUCUUAAGUCUGAUGUGAAAUCUUGCGGCUCAACCGCAAGCGGUCAUGGGAAACUGGGAGGCUUGAGUGCAGAAGAGGAGAGUGGAAGUCAACGUGUAGCGGUGAAAUGCGUAGAGAUGUGGAGGAACACCAGUGGCGAAGGCGGCUCUCUGGUCUGUAACUGACGCUGAGGCGCGAAAGCGUGGGGAGCAAACAGGA
Molecule: ribosomal RNA, 424 nt
Filed under: uncultured bacterium
Lineage: Bacteria
Description: bacterial SSU rRNA
Rfam family: Bacterial small subunit ribosomal RNA
Source: RNAcentral